GUGAAUCAUCAAAUUUUUGAACGCAAAUUGCGCUUCCUGGCAUCCCGGGAAGUAUGCCUGUUUGAGGGUCAGUAUUAACAAAAAAUCGGUUUGGUUGCAAAUUGUGACGUUUCCGGAGUUUGGGCUAUCUUAACUUUUUUGGUUAAGGGGCUUAAAAUUGGCCUUUUUUGCGCAUUUUUAGACGUACAUAAAUUUUUUUUAUUCGUUCUUUCUUUAUGCCCAAAUUUUAUUUGAAUCGAAUCAA
RNAcentral lists this unclassified non-coding RNA (244 nucleotides) under Glomeraceae sp. Its description in RNAcentral is "partial contains 5.8S ribosomal RNA and internal transcribed spacer 2". The stretch from base 1 to 71 matches the Rfam family "5.8S ribosomal RNA", at positions 84 to 154 of the family's 154-position model. Lineage: Eukaryota; Fungi; Glomeromycota; Glomeromycetes; Glomerales; Glomeraceae. The record is from RNAcentral.